GAUCAUGGCUCAGGAUGAACGUUGGCGGCGUGCCUAAUACAUGCAAGUCGAACGGUAAGGCGCCCUUCGGGGUGCUGGAGAGUGGCGGACGGGUGAGUAACACGUAACUGAUCUGCCCUUUAGACUGGGAUAACCUUUGGAAACAGAGGCUAAUACCGGAUGAUAAAUCGGUAGUUAGAGAGCCGGUAGUGAAAGUGAAAGCGCUAGGGGAUGAGGUUGCGGGCCAUCAGCUAGUUGGUGAGGUAAAGGCUCACCGAGGCGAUGACGGCUAGGGGACCUGAGAGGGUGGCCCCCCACACUGGGACUGAGACACGGCCCAGACUCCUACGGGAGGCAGCAGUAAGGGAUAUUGCACAAUGGGCGGAAGCCUGAUGCAGCGACGCCGCGUGGGUGAAGAAGGUUUUCGGAUCGUAAAGCCCUUUUCUAUGUGACGAGGAAGGACGGUAGCAUAGGAAUAAGUGUCGGCUAACUACGUGCCAGCAGCCGCGGUAAAACGUAGGACACGAACGUUAUCCGGAGUUACUGGGCGUAAAGAGCGCGUAGGCGGUUGGUUAAGUUACCUAUGAAAGAUACCGGCUAAACUGGUAUAAGUUGGGUGAAACUGGUCGACUAGAGAGAAAUAGAGGGAAGUAGAAUUCCGGGUGUAGUGGUGAAAUGCGUAGAUAUCCGGAGGAAUACCGGUGGCGAAGGCGGCUUCCUGGAUUUCCACUGACGCUGAUGCGCGAAAGCGUGGGUAGCGAACGGGAUUAGAAACCCCGGUAGUCCACGCCGUAAACGAUGUACAUUAGGCGUUCGGCAACGAUGGUUGUUGA
Molecule: ribosomal RNA, 812 nt
Filed under: uncultured Chloroflexota bacterium
Lineage: Bacteria; Bacillati; Chloroflexota
Description: bacterial SSU rRNA
Rfam family: Bacterial small subunit ribosomal RNA
Source: RNAcentral